CAGCGCCCAUUCCGCGUACAUCGAGUAUCCAAAAUGAGUAAAAUCGGUUUAUACGUUGGAAUGUAGCUUAUGAUUCCAAAAUCUCAUCUCCAGGCUGCCUAGAUCACACGGCCCCGUUUCAUUCAUUUUUACUUAAUAACGGUCGUUGGACAAUUUAGAGAAGCAGCAGAAACCACGAGAAAAACAGUGGAGUCAAACGGCGGCGCUGUUGUAGGAGCAAGGGAUACAAUGAUGAUCAAGGCAGAUGCAGCCCUUACCUUCAGGUCGUGGAGUCCGGAUACAGACUGGAGGCAGGCAGCUGUAAGAUGUGUGACAAAUGCUGCGCUGGAUCAGCCCAUGGUAUUAGGAGAGCAGCUGAGUGCCACGUGCUGACGUCACUAAGAUCAAUACAGCAAACUCUGAAAGAUGGACAGAGAGACAGGAGAUGGUCCUUUAUAAUGCAGUGUGAUCUGUGCUGCAAUAGAGUUUUGGAAGCUAGAAGUUCAAAACGAGGUGUUGGCAGCACCAUGCUCUCUCUGAAGAUGCUAGGAAGAAUCUGCUCCAUGCCUUUCCAUUCGCUCCUGGGGUUUCCUGCAAGCCCUGACAUUCCUUGGCUUGUAGAUACACCACCCCAGUUUCCGCCCCCAUCAUCACAUGGCCUCCUCUCUGUGGGUGCCUCUGCGUUCCCUCUAUUCUUCUUCUAAGGACACCGACACCAGUCAUAGUGGAUUAAGGGUCCACUCCUAACUAAUUACAUCUGCAACCACCCUAUUUCCAAAUAAAGUCACAUUCUAAGAUUCCUAGGGAGAACAUGAAGUUUUGGGGGUGUGUGGAUACUGUUCAACCUGGGACAUGGAGUAAAUAAAUGGCAAGAAAGAUUACAGAUGACUUUAAGCUAAAGAGGGAGAUAGGGUUAAAUGUAGGACUUUUUUUUUUUUCCAGGACGGGAGAGGUUUAAACAUGUUACUACAUUGAAUAAAUGAA
RNAcentral lists this long non-coding RNA (963 nucleotides) under Homo sapiens (human). Its description in RNAcentral is "HSALNT0305226". Lineage: Eukaryota; Metazoa; Chordata; Mammalia; Primates; Hominidae. The record is from RNAcentral.